This 148-nucleotide unclassified non-coding RNA is filed under the name uncultured Rhizopogon. Its description in RNAcentral is "sequence contains ITS2". Lineage: Eukaryota; Fungi; Basidiomycota; Agaricomycetes; Boletales; Rhizopogonaceae. The record is from RNAcentral.
AUUUCUCAACCCCUCUCAAUUAGCUUUGAGGGGGAGCUUGGAUAGUGGGUGUUGCCAGAGACUCUUACUUGUGUAAGACUUGGGCUCACCUGAAAUGCAUUGGCUUGCAGUCAACCUUUUGACUUUGCAUGAUAAGGCUUUCGGUGUG